AGUGAAGCGGCAACAGCUCAAAUUUGAAAUCUGGCGCNUUUAGGUUCCGAGUUGUAAUUUGCAGAGGAGUCUUCCGAGGAGGUGAGAUCUAAAUCCUUUGGGACAGGGGGUCAUAAAGGGGGAGAAACCCCCAUGUGGUCUACAACCAUAGUCUAUGUGAAAUUCCUUCUCCAAGACUAGUUGUUUGGGAAUGCGCCUCCCAAUGGGUGGGAAAUUUCCUCUCAAGCUAAAUAUUGGCCAGAGACCGAUAGCGCACAAAUAGAGUGAUCGAAAAAUAAAAAGCACUUUGUAAAAAGAGUUAAAAAGUACGUGAAAUUGUUGAAAGGGAAACGUUUGCCACCCCACCUGUGUGUGGGUGAUCACCGCCUGUUCUCGCCCGUGCACUCGCCCCCAGCAGGCCCACAUCGGUUUGGGCGGGGGGAAAAUGGCUUUGGGAAAGGAGCUUCCUUCGGGAAGGCUUACUUCUCGUUGUGCAAUACCGCCCCCCCCGAUCAAGGAACGGGCUCCCGCUAGGAUGCUGGAAUAAUGGUCGUCACCAACCCGUCUUGAAACACGGACCAGGGAGUCAAAUAUCCAUGCUAGUGUUUGGGUAUAAAACCCCUACGCGUAAUGAAGGUGAAGGGAGGUGGGAACCCGUUAGGACGCACCAUCAACCGAUGCAAAUGUCUUCGGAUGGAUUUGAGUAGGAACAUGGUUGAUUGAACCCAAAAGAAGGAGAACUA
This 722-nucleotide ribosomal RNA is filed under the name [Epicladonia] stenospora. RNAcentral describes it as "eukaryotic LSU rRNA". It matches the Rfam family "Eukaryotic large subunit ribosomal RNA", at positions 92 to 833 of the family's 3401-position model. The record is from RNAcentral. Lineage: Eukaryota; Fungi; Ascomycota; Lecanoromycetes; Lecanorales; Pilocarpaceae.